Molecule: ribosomal RNA, 800 nt
Filed under: uncultured bacterium
Lineage: Bacteria
Description: bacterial SSU rRNA
Rfam family: Bacterial small subunit ribosomal RNA
Source: RNAcentral
AGAGUUUGAUCCUGGCUCAGAACGAACGCUGGCGGCAGGCCUAACACAUGCAAGUCGAGCGCCCAGCAAUGGGAGCGGCGGACGGGUGAGUAACACGUGGGAAUUUUCCUCAAGGUACGGAACAACUCAGGGAAACUUGGGCUAAUACCGUAUGAUGCAGAGAUGCCAAAGAUUUAUCGCCCUGGGAUAAGCCCGCGUCAGAUUAGGUAGUUGGUGGGGUAAUGGCCUACCAAGCCUGUGAUCUGUAGCUGGUCUGAGAGGACGAUCAGCCACAUUGGGACUGAGACACGGCCCAAACUCCUACGGGAGGCAGCAGUGGGGAAUCUUGCGCAAUGGGCGAAAGCCUGACGCAGCCAUGCCGCGUGAAUGAUGAAGGUCUUAGGAUUGUAAAGUUCUUUCGCUCGUGACGAUGAUGACGGUAACGAGAGAAGAAGCCCCGGCUAACUUCGUGCCAGCAGCCGCGGUAAUACGAAGGGGGCUAGCGUUGUUCGGAAUUACUGGGCGUAAAGCGCGCGUAGGCGGCUUUGCAAGCCAGAGGUGAAAUGCCUGAGCUCAACUUAGGAAUUGCCUUUGGGACUGCGAGGCUUCGAGGACGGAAGAGGUGAGUGGAAUUCCCAGUGUAGAGGUGAAAUUCGUAGAUAUUGGGAAGAACACCGGUGGCGAAGGCGGCUCACUGGUCCGUUUCUGACGCUAAAGCGCGAAAGCGUGGGGAUCAAACAGGAUUAGAUACCCUGGUAGUCCACGCUGUAAACGAUGAGUGCUAGGCGUCGGCACGCUUGCGUGUCGGUGCCGCAGCUAAC